RNAcentral lists this ribosomal RNA (491 nucleotides) under uncultured bacterium. Its description in RNAcentral is "partial 16S ribosomal RNA". It matches the Rfam family "Bacterial small subunit ribosomal RNA", at positions 29 to 506 of the family's 1533-position model. The record is from RNAcentral.
AGUGAACGCUGGCGGUAGGCCUAACACAUGCAAGUCGAACGGCAGCACAGUAAGAGCUUGCUCUUACGGGUGGCGAGUGGCGGACGGGUGAGGAAUACAUCGGAAUCUACUCUUUCGUGGGGGAUAACGUAGGGAAACUUACGCUAAUACCGCAUACGACCUACGGGUGAAAGCAGGGGAUCUUCGGACCUUGCGCGAUUGAAUGAGCCGAUGUCGGAUUAGCUAGUUGGCGGGGUAAAGGCCCACCAAGGCGACGAUCCGUAGCUGGUCUGAGAGGAUGAUCAGCCACACUGGAACUGAGACACGGUCCAGACUCCUACGGGAGGCAGCAGUGGGGAAUAUUGGACAAUGGGCGCAAGCCUGAUCCAGCCAUACCGCGUGGGUGAAGAAGGCCUUCGGGUUGUAAAGCCCUUUUGUUGGGAAAGAAAAGCAGCAGGUUAAUACCCCGCUGUUCUGACGGUACCCAAAGAACAAGCACCGGCUAACUUCGU